CGAAAUCUGUGCUGAAAACAUAGGCAUUGAUGGUGUUUGAGUAAUUCCAUCUGUGAAGCUCAACAUUAGCUCAUCAGUCGGUGGUGGACAGUCAUAAAUCCUUUCUGCAGGAUGAAUGACUUUUCAGGAAAAAAACAAUUUCACAAAUCAAAACUUUCCUCCAGAUUAGUUCUUUUGGUUAAACGGGACACUGUCCUGAUUUUUAUUUUUGCAAACCAUUCAGUCUCUUGCUUGCAAAUGGUGCAUGAAAAUAGGCUGGGAAUGGCAGUAGACAUAAGUCUCUUUAAGGUGGGUUUGUGCCCU
RNAcentral lists this long non-coding RNA (303 nucleotides) under Mytilus galloprovincialis (Mediterranean mussel). Lineage: Eukaryota; Metazoa; Mollusca; Bivalvia; Mytilida; Mytilidae. The record is from RNAcentral.